UCGUCCGCUGUUUGUCGCUCAGGGACGGGGCGCCCUCGGCCCGGAACCUCCCGCCCCACAGCUCGGCAGGGAGCGAGGGGCCCGGAGCCGCUGUGCCCCGUCCCACCCCACAGGCGCAGCCCGGGAGGGUGAAAGAACUGGGGAGAGAAUGCGGCCUACGAAACACCGCACCGAGUGGGGAUUCUGAGCCAUAAAAGGGGCCCUGAGAGGAAUGCUGAUCUCCAUGGCAGCGAGAACUACCGCAGGAGAGCGGGGCCAGCCCCGGGCCCGAGCAGAGGGCACACGCAGGCAAAGAGAAGCGCUCGAGACCUUUACCACCACAAGGACCACUGCUAGGGGGCGUAGGGACAGAGGGCCCGGUACGUGUCACACAGGAGGACGUUCAUCCAUCUACUCCUUCAAAAGACAUUUCUACGCCCUUAAUGUACCUCUAGCAACAUGCACCUUAGGUAACGGCGAUUCCCCAAACCAUUUCAUGUCAUUCACUGCAAUGAGAGGGCAGUAUUCAUUUAAGACUUUAAGACUAGAAGAAUAAAUUGUGCAGAGCAGGAGAAUCCAGGAGCAGAGAAACACUGAGUUCAUGCAAAAAUGAGAGUACACAGCAGAUAUGCACAUGCUCACAGAACUGGUUAUACUAGCAUGCUGAAAUAAAGAUUGUCAAGCCUCGUCUCACCCCAGAUCACAUCCGAGUGAGCUGACCCUUACAGCAGAAACAAACCGGGUACGUAACAAGAGUUAAAGCUCGCGUUGUAAGUGAUGUCCCUGGCAAUUCUGUACCACCGGGGAAAGGGCCGAGUCCAACACCUGGAGCUCCCUCAAGCAAAGUGAGCAUCAGCACAGCCAGUUUGCUACAGAGAGCUGCACGUCAUUUGAGAGCAGCGAUGGAACUUAGGACAUCACUUGACCUUUCGGGCCCCGUCAAUUGCAGCAGAAAUGUAAGCAACUGAAAAUAAAGGAUGGUUUUUAUAAAGUGUA
This is a long non-coding RNA of Numida meleagris (helmeted guineafowl), 975 nucleotides long. RefSeq lists it as uncharacterized. NCBI's taxonomy places the organism in Eukaryota, Metazoa, Chordata, Aves, Galliformes, Numididae. The record is from RefSeq and is a predicted model, not a curated record. The transcript has 2 exons.